Molecule: ribosomal RNA, 848 nt
Filed under: uncultured bacterium
Lineage: Bacteria
Description: bacterial SSU rRNA
Rfam family: Bacterial small subunit ribosomal RNA
Source: RNAcentral
CGGGUGAGUAACGCGUGAGGAACCUGCCUCAAAGAGGGGGACAACAGUUGGAAACGACUGCUAAUACCGCAUAAGCCCACAGCUCGGCAUCGAGCAGAGGGAAAAGGAGCAAUCCGCUUUGAGAUGGCCUCGCGUCCGAUUAGCUAGUUGGUGAGGUAACGGCCCACCAAGGCGACGAUCGGUAGCCGGACUGAGAGGUUGAACGGCCACAUUGGGACUGAGACACGGCCCAGACUCCUACGGGAGGCGGCAGUGGGGAAUAUUGCACAAUGGGGGAAACCCUGAUGCAGCGACGCCGCGUGGAGGAAGAAGGUCUUCGGAUUGUAAACUCCUGUUGUUGAGGAAGAUAAUGACGGUACUCAACAAGGAAGUGACGGCUAACUACGUGCCAGCAGCCGCGGUAAAACGUAGGUCACAAGCGUUGUCCGGAAUUACUGGGUGUAAGGGGAGCGCAGGCGGGAAGACAAGUUGGAAGUGAAAUCCAUGGGCUCAACCCAUGAACUGCUUUCAAAACUGUUUUUCUUGAGUAGUGCAGAUGUAGGCGGAAUUCCCGGUGUAGCGGUGGAAUGCGUAGAUAUCGGGAGGAACACCAGUGGCGAAGGCGGCCUACUGGGCACCAACUGACGCUGAGGCUCGAAAGUGUGGGUAGCAAACAGGAUUAGAUACCCUGGUAGUCCACACCGUAAACGAUGAUUACUAGGUGUUGGAGGAUUGACCCCUUCAGUGCCGCAGUUAACACAAUAAGUAAUCCACCUGGGGAGUACGACCGCAAGGUUGAAACUCAAAGGAAUUGACGGGGGCCCGCACAAGCAGUGGAGUAUGUGGUUUAAUUCGACGCAACGCGAAGA